RNAcentral lists this ribosomal RNA (492 nucleotides) under uncultured bacterium. RNAcentral describes it as "partial 16S ribosomal RNA". It matches the Rfam family "Bacterial small subunit ribosomal RNA", at positions 29 to 507 of the family's 1533-position model. The record is from RNAcentral.
AGUGAACGCUGGCGGUAGGCCUAACACAUGCACGUCGAACGGCAGCACAGUAAGAGCUUGCUCUUACGGGUGGCGAGUGGCGGACGGGUGAGGAAUACAUCGGAAUCUACUUUUUCGUGGGGGAUAACGUAGGGAAACUUACGCUAAUACCGCAUACGACCUACGGGUGAAAGCAGGGGAUCUUCGGACCUUGCGCGAUUGAAUGAGCCGAUGUCGGAUUAGCUAGUUGGCGGGGUAAAGGCCCACCAAGGCGACGAUCCGUAGCUGGUCUGAGAGGAUGAUCAGCCACACUGGAACUGAGACACGGUCCAGACUCCUACGGGAGGCAGCAGUGGGGAAUAUUGGACAAUGGGCGCAAGCCUGAUCCAGCCAUACCGCGUGGGUGAAGAAGGCCUUCGGGUUGUAAAGCCCUUUUGUUGGGAAAGAAAGGCAGCAGGUUAAUACCCCGCUGUUCUGACGGUACCCAAAGAAUAAGCACCGGCUAACUUCGUG